UGACCGCUGGCGGUGUGCCUACUACAUGCACGUCGAGCGAACAGAUGAGGAGCUUGCUCCUCUGACGUUAGCGGCGGACGGGUGAGUAACACGUGGAUAACCUACCUAUAAGACUGGGAUAACUUCGGGAAACCGGAGCUAAUACCGGAUAAUAUAUUGAACCGCAUGGUUCAAUAGUGAAAGACGGUUUUGCUGUCACUUAUAGAUGGAUCCGCGCCGCAUUAGCUAGUUGGUAAGGUAACGGCUUACCAAGGCGACGAUGCGUAGCCGACCUGAGAGGGUGAUCGGCCACACUGGAACUGAGACACGGUCCAGACUCCUACGGGAGGCAGCAGUAGGGAAUCUUCCGCAAUGGGCGAAAGCCUGACGGAGCAACGCCGCGUGAGUGAUGAAGGUCUUCGGAUCGUAAAACUCUGUUAUUAGGGAAGAACAAAUGUGUAAGUAACUAUGCACGUCUUGACGGUACCUAAUCAGAAAGCCACGGCUAACUACGUG
Molecule: ribosomal RNA, 495 nt
Filed under: uncultured bacterium
Lineage: Bacteria
Description: partial 16S ribosomal RNA
Rfam family: Bacterial small subunit ribosomal RNA
Source: RNAcentral